ACAAGAGAAAUCAGUGUCAUUGAGGCUUUUUAACUAACUAUACAUAGAUUUCCAUAGAUUGUAAUGGCAAUAUAAUGUGUGUUACGGGUAUGUUAUGUGUGUUUGAGAAUGUAUUUACAGUCUCUGUGGAUAAAGAAGUAAAAAAAUUGUUGGAAAAAAACUUCAUAAAAGACUGCAUAUAAAUGCUGUAAUGCCAAAAGGAAAAUACUGGGUUAGGCAGCCAAUGAGAACAGACAAAAGAUAUUGCCGACAGAAACGAUGGUGAAAGCAUUAGAGAACAAAGAAUCCUUACAACAAGUGAAGGUUAGUCCGAACAUAUUAACUGUUUUCAUGUUAGAGAAAUGCUCGAAUGUUUGUUGUUAUCAAUCUCAAGAAACCCUUUCGUAUUAACGAAUAAGAUUUGUUCCAUUUUUAUUUAUCUUAUCUUUAGUGAAGAAACUCAAAGUCGCGAUAACCUAGAUUCACAGCAAGCAUGACGAAUUCAUGGUGGUUCAGUUAAGUUUAAAAUAUGAAAUUAUUGAUAGAUUGACAAUUUGUCAACCAGGCCUUAGCUUUUGCAAUCUUAAAGUUAAAGUCCAAAAGACAAGUAAAAAUUAGGGCCUAAAAAAUAUUUUUCCGUUCGACUUCCUUUUGAAUAUUUUUCAUUUUGUGUCGCAGUGUAAAACGUUUGUAAUAUUUUUUUGCAUAUUGGGAAAAGCUGCCAAAAGGGAACAAAUCUGUAGUUCAGCUUGUUUUGAUUAACCACAAAAAAAGCUUAGGGAUGAAUUUCCCGUAUUUAAAAGCAAUCCAUACACAUUGUUUCAUUGUUUCGGUCUUUGAAAAAAACACGUUUGGGGAGAUAAUUUACCCGCAUUAACCCUAUUCGGUCCGGGGGGGCGGAUUCCGCCCCCCCUGACGUUUUUUUUGUAAUAACUCCUGAUUGCUUUGUUAUAUGGCUAUGAUACUUACUGAGUUUCAACAUUUAUCUAUUAGACACCUGCAUGCUAAUUUUUUAGGUCCCAUACCUUUCAGAGGCUUUGAUAUUGGCCAUUACUCGAAACUACCCCUAAAAAUCUCUAUGAAAUCCUUAUAAUGGGGAAAAUAUAAUAACUCCUGUUAGGAUUAUCCUUAGAACUUGAAACUUGCAACACAACUUUAUUUCAUCAAGAAGAAUCAUUUUGAAUAAUUUAAACACGUGACUAAUCCGAUUUCCCGAUUUUGUCGGAUUUCACCCGAAAAUCGGAAAAAAACGGAUUUUCGGGCAAUUUUUGGCAAUUUUUUAUCCGAUCCAUGUAAAAACCGGAAGAUAUGUUAAAUAACUUUUAUUUAACUUUCAGAAACUUCAAACAGAAUGUAAAAAUUCCCUCUAGAACGAAAGUAAUUAUAAUUUAAGCAGAUAGUGGCAUUUUUGACAAUUUUCAAGCUUCUGAUGACGUCACAGAAAAUGUGCUGACGCAAGCAAAAAUUUAUUGCCGCCAUUUUGUUCAUUUUAUGACGUACUAUAAGUGUGCCAAGUUUGAUUCAACUUGAACAAUCCUAUGAAAAGUUAUUGAGGGGGGGGCGGAAUCCGCCCCCCCGGUCAUA
Hydractinia symbiolongicarpus is the source of this 1563-nucleotide long non-coding RNA. RefSeq lists it as uncharacterized. The record is from RefSeq and is a predicted model, not a curated record. NCBI's taxonomy places the organism in Eukaryota, Metazoa, Cnidaria, Hydrozoa, Anthoathecata, Hydractiniidae. The transcript has 3 exons.